This 164-nucleotide ribosomal RNA is filed under the name Limosella aquatica. RNAcentral's name for it is "5.8S ribosomal RNA". It matches the Rfam family "5.8S ribosomal RNA". Rfam says of the family: 5.8S ribosomal RNA (5.8S rRNA) is a component of the large subunit of the eukaryotic ribosome. It is transcribed by RNA polymerase I as part of the 45S precursor that also contains 18S and 28S rRNA. Lineage: Eukaryota; Viridiplantae; Streptophyta; Magnoliopsida; Lamiales; Scrophulariaceae. The record is from RNAcentral.
AAAACGACUCUCGGCAACGGAUAUCUAGGCUCUCGCAUCGAUGAAGAACGUAGCAAAAUGCGAUACUUGGUGUGAAUUGCAGAAUCCCGUGAACCAUCGAGUUUUUGAACGCAAGUUGCGCCCGAAGCCAUUAGGCCAAGGGCACGUCUGCCUGGGCGUCACGC